Molecule: ribosomal RNA, 440 nt
Filed under: Salmonella enterica subsp. enterica
Lineage: Bacteria; Pseudomonadati; Pseudomonadota; Gammaproteobacteria; Enterobacterales; Enterobacteriaceae
Description: bacterial SSU rRNA
Rfam family: Bacterial small subunit ribosomal RNA
Source: RNAcentral
CCUACGGGUGGCUGCAGUGGGGAAUCUUGCGCAAUGGGCGAAAGCCUGACGCAGCCAUGCCGCGUGAAUGAUGAAGGUCUUAGGAUUGUAAAAUUCUUUCAGCGGGGACGAUAAUGACGGUACCCGCAGAAGAAGCCCCGGCUAACUUCGUGCCAGCAGCCGCGGUAAUACGAAGGGGGCUAGCGUUGCUCGGAAUUACUGGGCGUAAAGGGCGCGUAGGCGGGUUUUUAAGUCAGGGGUGAAAUCCCGGGGCUCAACCUCGGAACUGCCUUUGAUACUGGAAAUCUUGAGUCCGGGAGAGGUGAGUGGAACUCCGAGUGUAGAGGUGAAAUUCGUAGAUAUUCGGAAGAACACCAGUGGCGAAGGCGGCUCACUGGCCCGGUACUGACGCUGAGGCGCGAAAGCGUGGGGAGCAAACAGGAUUAGAUACCCUUGUAGUC